GGUGGCUCAGUGGUAGAGCACUUGACUUUGCAUGCAUGAGGCCCUGAGUUCGAUCUCUCAGCACCA
Molecule: transfer RNA, 66 nt
Filed under: Dipodomys ordii (Ord's kangaroo rat)
Lineage: Eukaryota; Metazoa; Chordata; Mammalia; Rodentia; Heteromyidae
Rfam family: tRNA
About the family: Transfer RNA (tRNA) molecules are approximately 80 nucleotides in length. Their secondary structure includes four short double-helical elements and three loops (D, anti-codon, and T loops).
Source: Rfam by way of RNAcentral